Molecule: transfer RNA, 69 nt
Filed under: Urocitellus parryii (Arctic ground squirrel)
Lineage: Eukaryota; Metazoa; Chordata; Mammalia; Rodentia; Sciuridae
Also listed under: 1 other name
Description: Spermophilus parryii (Arctic ground squirrel) tRNA
Rfam family: tRNA
About the family: Transfer RNA (tRNA) molecules are approximately 80 nucleotides in length.
Source: Rfam by way of RNAcentral
GGGGAUGUAGCUCAGUGGUAGAGCACUUGCCUAGCAUGCACAAGGCCCUGAGUUCCAUCCUCAGCACCA